Molecule: ribosomal RNA, 293 nt
Filed under: uncultured bacterium
Lineage: Bacteria
Description: partial 16S ribosomal RNA
Rfam family: Bacterial small subunit ribosomal RNA
Source: RNAcentral
GGAUUAGAUACCCUGGUAGUCCACGCCGUAAACGAUGUCUACUAGCCGUUGGGAGCCUUGAGCUCUUAGUGGCGCAGCUAACGCACUAAGUAGACCGCCUGGGGAGUACGGUCGCAAGAUUAAAACUCAAAUGAAUUGACGGGGGCCCGCACAAGCGGUGGAGCAUGUGGUUUAAUUCGAUGCAACGCGAAGAACCUUACCAAGACUUGACAUCCUGAGAACUUUCUAGAGAUAGAUUGGUGCCUUCGGGAACUCAGAGACAGGUGCUGCAUGGCUGUCGUCAGCUCGUGCCG